Small nuclear RNA from Nycticebus coucang (slow loris), 104 nucleotides. Lineage: Eukaryota; Metazoa; Chordata; Mammalia; Primates; Lorisidae. The record is from RefSeq and is a predicted model, not a curated record.
AUAUAUUAAAUAUAUAUAUAACAUAUAUUGGAACAAUACAGAAAAUAUUAGCAUGGCUCCUGCACAAGGAUGACACGCAAAUUCGUGAAGCAUUCCAUAUUUAA